RNAcentral lists this long non-coding RNA (3915 nucleotides) under Sus scrofa (pig). RNAcentral's name for it is "lncRNA (ENSSSCG00000055327.1)". Lineage: Eukaryota; Metazoa; Chordata; Mammalia; Artiodactyla; Suidae. The record is from RNAcentral.
GGAGGGAGUGGGAUGGACUGGGAAUCUAUAGUUAAUAGGUGCAAACGUAUUGCGUUGGUAAUGGAUAAGCAAUGAGAUCCUGCUUCAUAGCACUGAGAACUGUAGCUAGUCACUAAUGAUGGAGCAUGAUGGAGGAUAAUGUGAGAAAAAGAAUGAAUACAUAUGUGUGUGUGUGUGUGUGUGUGUGUGUGUGUGUGUGUGUGGCUCAGUUUGCUGUACCGCAGAAAAUUGGCAGAACCCUGAAACCCAGCUAUAAUGGAAAAAGUAAAAAUAAUUAAACUAAAAGAUGUUGUACCGACACACAAAGGAAUACCACUUAGCCAGAAAAUGAACAAAAGAAGGCCAUUUGCAACAUUGAAGGAACAAGAGAUGCUCAUACCAAGUGAAGUAAGUCGGAAAGAGAAAGACAAAUACAUUGUGAUAUCACUUAUACGUGGGAUCUGAAAUAUGGUGUGAAUGAACGUAUCUGUAGAAACUAAACAAACUGAUGGACAUGGAGAACACAGAUGUGGUUGCCAAGGUGGAGGGUGAAGGCGUGGGAUGGAUUGGGAGUUUGGGGUUUCUAGGUGCAAUCCAUAAUGUCUGGAGUGGAUUGGGAAUGAGAUCAUGCUGCAUAGCACAGGGAACUAGAUCCAGUCAUAAUGGAUGAUGACGGAAGGUAAUAGGAGAAUAGUAUGAACAUGCGUAUAACUGAGUCACGUUGCUGUAGAGUAGAAAUUGACAGAAAGUUCUAAGUCAACUAUACAACAAUCGCCCAGCGGCUCCAAAGUUCAGUCAGAGCGAUGCUGUGAAAAUCUGGACUUAACAGCUGGAUGACAGGUAUUGCAGAGUCCUUAUGGCUGGAAGGGCUUGUCUGUCUGGAAGGAUUCUGCUCCUUGUGGACAUCUGCCUGUCUGUCCAUCCAUCUCUCCACCUCCCGAGGGGACAGUUUCUAAAUCCCAUAUAGCAGAGGUUCAGGCAGUAGCCGUGACCCACCCAUGCUGGCCACCCUCACAGCCUAUAUCCUUUGAGGUCCCAUCCACAUACACUGGAAGGUGAUGGCCCCAUCAUUGACCAGAGGGUGCAGCUCCUGGGUACUCCAUGCAUAGGAAGUCGCACAGGGCAGAGAUGCUCUGCAGGUCACCGAUGUCCAGUUGGGGGAAUUGUAGGCUCAGGGCCUCUGCCUGCAGUUGCUUCACUGCUGCCUGUCCUCUGGGAAUGUCCCUUGCUGGCACAGCUCCCACACCAUGGGCAAUCCUUGUUUGCGUCAGGCACCAUUACCACGUGGGUGUUGGACUCAUUACUGACGUUGCAGGCCUCCUGCCCCUCCAGGCUCACAUAAACAACACACCCUCCCUGCAUAGACUGGACCACAAUCUCUCCUAUCCACCAACACACCUGCACACUCCCUCUUCCCUGCCGGCUCUGAUUCUCUUAGGUCCGCAUCUUUCAUAAAAGUGCCCCCUCCUUCAACUACACAGUUGCUCUUGUCCCAUUGAAUUUGGGGUUUAAAGACACCAGAGCAAAUAUCCUCCCUCUGUGAUGCUGCCCGUGUUACACUGCUGGCUGCUGAGCUAGAGCCCACGGUCUCAAUGUCACCAUGCUCCUCAGUUUAUGAACCCUCUCUGGCGACUUUCCUGCUGCAAAGGCAGAUCUGAGUAGCUGCAGCAGAGCCCACUUGGACCCGCAAAGCUCAGUGGAUUUCCUGUCUGACCGGAUCCAUAACGGGGGUUGUCCCAAGUUAUGCUCGCGCUUCUCUUGACCUGCCUUUGGGUCUCUUCCAUGUCUGAGCCUUUUUAGCAUAGGAACAGUCGGCACACGUGGACCUUUAUGAAGAGCCAUUUAUUCAUCUCUUGAUUGGUUUACAUUAUUUGUCAUCUACUCCAUGUUUCCCUUCCUUGGGGUCAGAGAAGUAAUGACAUAAGCCUUCACAGAAUGAGCAGCCCUCUCCGAGUGGGGACUCAAUGGAGACAUUUUGGUUCUCUAUUUUCUUUUUCAUUUUUGCAUAGGGCUGUUUUUGAUAGUGUAAGUAUCCUUUUGGGGAAAUCAGGACACAAAUUAUGCAUUGGCCCAGGGGUAGCUCUCAGGGGGAACACCCCAUUCUACAAAUUUUUUCUCAGAAACAAACUGACCGUGAGGCCCCUCAGCAUCUGAGAGCAAAAGGUCCAGGUACACGGGGGUCUCUGCUCCUUCCUCUGGUCUCUUGGGUGCCUCAGGUCCAGUCAUGUCAGUUCUCACCCACCCUGGGCAGCAGGCAUUCAGGAGGAUCUUGUCCCCUGCUCUCUGCUCACUCAGUUUAGAUCCUAGCAUAGAUCCUGGACAACACAGUGACCCCGAUUUUCGUCACUCCAUAGAUCAGAUCACACCAUCCCUCCUUCCUGUGCACCCCGUUCUUUGUGUCUUCCACAAACUUGUUCAUGAGCCCCACCAGCUCCUGCUCUGUGAUGGUCUCACUCUUGAACUUCUGCUGCAAUUCAGGGCUGCACUCGUUAAGGGCUCUGACACCCUCAGUGCUAGACACAUUCACCACUCUGCCUGUAAUACAACACAUAUCCUUAUAUAGAGACAUGAGCACCAGAAGGAUAUAUAUAUAUACCCAGUUCUCCAGGACUUUGGACCCUAAAUUUCCAACUGAGAUUCAGUGAGCAGUUUGCUAGGAGAAGACGUAAGAGUGCCUCUGUGAGAGAGGGACAUGAACUGGCCUUGGAUCAUCUGCUGAGCAUCGUGUAUGGAUGAUGUCAGGGAAUGAAAUGCUCUAGUGGGGAGGGCAGUGCCCAGAUUCCCAUAAGAAAAGGCAACUGGUGUAUGGAGGAAAAUGCUCAGAAAAUAAGAGGAGUCCUCGCUGCACUCAGGAGAGUGGCCUCCUUUGGGGCCACCUGAGGGUCUAUGGUCACUUGGCCAGUGCUCUAGGACAGGUGUGUCUUGACCUGCCAAGGGCCUGUGGGUUUAUGAAUGGCAGUUCCUAGGGGAUCAGACAGCAUUCAUCUUGGGAGGCUCAGUCAGAAUAAGCUAAAAGCAUUCAUUUCAGGGUCUGAAUUUCAUGCAUUUUUUUCUGGGUUUGAGUUUUUCUCACUCACGAGUAAUGCCUCCAGUCCUGGCUAUUGGAGGACAGAGAGGGGCAGUGGAAUCUGAUAAUUUCAGAGAUGCCCAGUGAGCAUGCCACUGAGAGAUUCAAAGGGACCUUAAGAGGGAAUGAGAGUAGGACAUGAUAGGGGCCAUCAGAAGCAGGUCUUCCUGGGUGAGGAGGUGCAGAUACUAUGGAGGGACUGUCCUCAGGUGUGGUUCCUUGCAGUGUCUUUUUGGGUGCAGGAGGGGAGUGGAAAUGGGUGCAGCCCCAAGGUAGGAGUUGGCUCAUUGUUCCUAAGACUCUAGCAUCUUCUGAGACUCCAUGGCCACUAAAUGUUUCCUCUGCCAGCCAGUCAGAAGGAGGGGAGAUGUGUAGGAGACAGACUUGUUGAGGCCAUGUCUGGACACAGAGCUGGUAAGUGGGGCUGCAGGUGGAAGCCCUUGGAAGUUACAGUGUGUCCUGCUGAGAUGAGAUGCUCUCUCUGGACCUGGCUUUUCUGCCCUGGCAGGAGAACCCCUGUCUAAGGUGUCAAGGCAGGUACUGAUGUUGAGGGUCAAGUGUCCUGGGAGACUGAGUGACAGUCUCCUCUGGUUGUCACACUGAUGGAAAAUGAGUAGUUAAUGAAAAUUGGGGGCAGGAGUUCCCGUCGUGGCUCAGUGGUUAACGAAUCCGAGUAAGAAUCAUGAGUUUGUGUGUUCGAUCCCUGGCUUUGCUCAGUGGGUUAAAUGUCCGGCAUUGCCAUGAGAUGUGGUGUAGGUCACAGAUGUGGCUCAGAUCCCACUUUGCGGUGGCUGUGGUAUAGGCUGGCAGCUACAACUCUGAUAAGACCCCUAGCCUGGGAACAUCCAUAUGCCGCGGGUGCAGCCUUA